RNAcentral lists this ribosomal RNA (541 nucleotides) under Salarias ramosus. Its description in RNAcentral is "partial 16S ribosomal RNA". It matches the Rfam family "Bacterial large subunit ribosomal RNA", at positions 1914 to 2605 of the family's 2925-position model. Lineage: Eukaryota; Metazoa; Chordata; Actinopteri; Blenniiformes; Blenniidae. The record is from RNAcentral.
GAUCUAGUAUUUAACGGCCGCGGUAUUUUGACCGUGCAAAGGUAGCGUAAUCACUUGUCUUUUAAAUGGAGACCUGUAUGAAAGGCAUAACGAGGGCUUAACUGUCUCCCCCUCCCGGUCAGUGAAAUUGAUCUUUCCGUGCAGAAGCGGGAAUACGAACAUAAGACGAGAAGACCCUGUGGAGCUUUAGACAAUUAAUGGCCCUUGUAUACUACUUCUCAGCUAAAGGACUAAAAUUAAAAGAUUCCCAUUUUUUGUCUUCGGUUGGGGCGACCGCGGGGAAAUAAAAAUCCCCCAUGUGGAAUAUUGUUACCAAUUUUUAAAUGAAGAGUGACAACUCAAAAUUACAGAACCUCUGACCUAAACUGACCCAGCUUGCUGCUGAUUCACGAAACCAGUUACCCCAGGGAUAACAGCGCAAUCCUCUCCCAGAGUUCAUAUCGACAAGAGGGUUUACGACCUCGAUGUUGGAUCAGGACAUCCUAAUGGUGCAGCCGCUAUUAAGGGUUCGUUUGUUCAACGAUUAAAGUCCUACGUGAUC